RNAcentral lists this unclassified non-coding RNA (441 nucleotides) under Hevea brasiliensis (rubber tree). The record is from RNAcentral. Lineage: Eukaryota; Viridiplantae; Streptophyta; Magnoliopsida; Malpighiales; Euphorbiaceae.
UAGGUACUAAAAAUCAACUCUUGAGAAAGUAGUGCAAUGUGCCUUGUCCACAUUUUAUUCCCUCCAUACUCUUAAUCACAAAUGGGAAUACAUCAGAUGUAUGGUCAUUAAGGCAUAUUUCUUUUGAAAUAAGAUUUCAAAUUAUCUUUUUUGACUGAACCAAAAGUUUUGAAAAGAAAGAGAAGCUUGUGUAAGGCUAAACUUUAAUGUGUUUUGUUCAUGAAACUAACAGAAGAUGAGGCUGUCUCCUUUUGACCUCGGAAAGAAUUGUAUUUCACAAACAGUUAAAACUUUAAAAUACUUACGAGUUGUCAUCAAAGAAUUGAGAUUUAUAUUUGCUGAGGGGCGGUGAUUUUGUAUUUCACAAACAGUUAAAACUUUAAAAUACUUACGAGUUGUCAUCAAAGAAUUGAGAUUUAUAUUUGCUGAGGGGCGGUGAUU